Molecule: long non-coding RNA, 309 nt
Organism: Amphiprion ocellaris (clown anemonefish)
Lineage: Eukaryota; Metazoa; Chordata; Actinopteri; Pomacentridae
Source: Ensembl
AAACAGCCUUGAGAUCUUAGGCAGCGUCUCCCUCAGGUCCCUCUCUAUCUCCCCACACAUCCACCAACCACUGGAACACAUCUCCAAAGUUCUGCCGGGCCAGCUCAGCUUCCCCUCAGAAGAAGUGCUGCCACCUGCCAGAUGAAGGAGCCUUUUGAGAGGCAGCUGGCAUCGUGAUUGGACUGUACUUUGGUCUGUUCCAAUCCAGCUUCAGCUCCAGAGACGGCAGGCGGGACGAGUCAACGGAGGCCGGGUGGACGAAGGCAUGAAACCAAAGAACUACAGACUCUUCACAACCUGCUCAAACUC